GAGAGUGUAGCUCAGUGGUAGAGCACAUGCUCAGCACGCACGAGCUGGGUUCAAUCCCCAGCACCUCCA
This 69-nucleotide transfer RNA is filed under the name Camelus bactrianus (Bactrian camel). It matches the Rfam family "tRNA". From Rfam's summary of the family: Transfer RNA (tRNA) molecules are approximately 80 nucleotides in length. Their secondary structure includes four short double-helical elements and three loops (D, anti-codon, and T loops). RNAcentral also lists the same sequence under 2 other names. The record is from Rfam by way of RNAcentral. Lineage: Eukaryota; Metazoa; Chordata; Mammalia; Artiodactyla; Camelidae.